UACGUAGGGAGCAAGCGUUGUCCGGAAUCAUUGGGCGUAAAGAGCGCGUAGGUGGCUUUAUAAGUCCGUUGUGAAAGUCAAAGGCUCAACCUUUGAAAGCCGAUGGAUACUGUGAAGCUAGAGUACGGAAGAGGCGAGUGGAAUUCCUGGUGUAGCGGUGAAAUGCGCAGAUAUCAGGAAGAACACCCGUGGCGAAGGCGGUUCUCUGGGACGGUACUGACGCUGAGACGCGAAAGCGUGGGGAGCGAACAGG
Molecule: ribosomal RNA, 253 nt
Filed under: uncultured bacterium
Lineage: Bacteria
Description: partial 16S ribosomal RNA
Rfam family: Bacterial small subunit ribosomal RNA
Source: RNAcentral